RNAcentral lists this long non-coding RNA (1392 nucleotides) under Callithrix jacchus (white-tufted-ear marmoset). RNAcentral's name for it is "lncRNA (ENSCJAG00000086558.1)". The record is from RNAcentral. Lineage: Eukaryota; Metazoa; Chordata; Mammalia; Primates; Cebidae.
AGUGUCCAUCCCCUACCCCCAGGGCAGGGAGAGGGGAUGCAGGGUCGUGCUGCUGGACCCAAGCCGUGAGUGCCCCUGGGUACCUGGUGGCUCUGAGUGGUUCUCUUAUAAACCAUCUGAGCUGGCUCAAAGGAGCUUCUGCUAAGUGGGGUGACAAAUGUCAUUCUCCAUUGGAAGAACAAGAUCCUCUGCCUGACACCUAAAAAAGCUCCCUAGUGUCACGAUUCCCCGUGGCUCCAAUCCAACCCUGGAGGCUUCAUUUCCUCCCUGUCCUCAGCUGCAAUCCCUGUACUCCACUCCCUUCCCCAAAACCCAUAAGCUGAGCUCUUUAGGGCAAGGGAUCUUUUCUGCCCUUUCCCCCACAUCCAGUAUGCCUAUCCCCUGAUGCAUCAGCCCCAACCCCACUUAGAGAACACCGUGGACACUGCACAGGCCAGCAGCACGUCGCCACCUGGCAUCCCGCAUCUGCCUCUUGAUGAGGCUACCAACAUCCCAGAGAGUGAAACUCAGGUACAACAUGAUAGAGGGGCAUGACUCAGCGUUUUCUCAAAGCAUUCUCUUAUGACUCAGCGUUUUCUCAAAGCAUUCUCUUUGUAUCUGUUUGCAUAUCUUGACAGUCUUCACUGAAGGGUGAGAUAAGGAAGAAAUUCACUUAAUGUGUCAAACGCCUAUUUGACUAAGUACAAUACCACUUCACAGUGCUUAUUAAGGAAGAUAAAUAAAAACUAAUUUUAAAAGGGUCAUAAAUGAAUAUAUACAAAUGACCAAAAAGUAUGCAAAAAAGUUCUUGUUUUCAUAAAUUAUCAGGGAAAUGCAUGUCAGAACCACAUUAAAAUACACCACACAUUCACCAGAAAGGCAAAAAAUAGACGAGAUCACACCAGGACUUAGACACGGUCGUAAAAUGCUGCAACCAUUUCAACUAUGGCCCACUCACUCCUGGAUAUUCAUCCAAGAGAAAUGAAAAGCUGGGAAGAGCACACACGAAUGUUCUGCCCAGGAGUGAUGGAUCUCUAAGCGUUAAGGACCGGGCCAGGAGCAUCCUGGCCUUCUCACUAGUUCAGGUGCGAAGCUAAUUCCAGAGGCACAGUCACACUUCUCAGCCCUCUCCAAGAAUCCUCUGGGAAAUCAGUUCUAUGUCAGUGUUUGGGGCCAAGAAUCAAAGUGACCAAGAUGCUCAGAACAAGCCCCGGACGGACGUUUUGAUGUGAAGAAAGGUCAGAGAGGUUGAAAAACUGUAGAAAGCAUAAAACCGCCCUGCCAAGUUUUGCAAAGGAGACCUGCAUCAGAAAUGAAAUUGCUGAGUCAGAAGAAUACCUCCAAAUUCUUUCUUCUUCACCUGUUGGGUCUUUAAUACAGAAAUUCAGUAGUUUGUUGAAACCCACAGUUUAC